UACGGGGGGGGCAAGCGUUGUUCGGAAUUACUGGGCGUAAAGGGCUCGUAGGCGGCCAACUAAGUCGGAUGUGAAAUCCCCAGGCUCAACCUGGGAACUGCACCCGAUACUGGAUGGCUUGAAUUCGGGAGAGGGAUGCAGAAUUCCAGGUGUAGCGGUGAAAUGCGUAGAUAUCUGGAGGAAUACCGGUGGCGAAGGCGGCAUCCUGGACCGACAUUGACGCUGAGGAGCGAAAGCCAGGGGAGCAAACGGG
RNAcentral lists this ribosomal RNA (253 nucleotides) under uncultured bacterium. RNAcentral describes it as "partial 16S ribosomal RNA". It matches the Rfam family "Bacterial small subunit ribosomal RNA", at positions 524 to 776 of the family's 1533-position model. The record is from RNAcentral.